This 523-nucleotide long non-coding RNA is filed under the name Sus scrofa (pig). RNAcentral's name for it is "lncRNA (ENSSSCG00015072909.1)". The record is from RNAcentral. Lineage: Eukaryota; Metazoa; Chordata; Mammalia; Artiodactyla; Suidae.
GAUCCGGUGUUGCCCUGAGCUGUGGUGUAGGCUGCAGAUGCAGCUCAGAUCUGGAGUUGCUGUGACUGUGGCAUAGGUCAGCUCCAGUUCGACCCCUAGCCUGGGAACUUCCAUAGCUGCGGGGGGAUGCAGCCCAAAAAAGAAAAAAAAGAAAGAAAGAAAAAAAAGAAAGAAAUGCAGCCUGUAGGAUUGUUGGAAUUCUUAUUUGCCAAGGAAGAAUCAUCUUCAUUUUUGUAGGGAAUAUGGAAAAGCAGUGUGGCUCAUGUCCCUCAUAUCCAUAAAGAGAUGAGCCAAGAAAGUAAACCUAGAUGCUGUCCCUUCCCUUGAGCACUGAAGCAAUUCCAUUUCUGCAACAUGCUCUGCAACACCACUUGCCAGAGAAGGUACAUGUUUCAAAGUCUAUUAUUUUGAUAAAUAAUAAGUUAGUAACUGUAUUAUUUGGGGGCAUGAAUAACUCAUCAUUUCUAAGUAUUUUUUAUGAAAUUGUUUCAAUCAACAAUUGCCAUAGUAGUGACAAUGCUGG